This 253-nucleotide ribosomal RNA is filed under the name uncultured bacterium. RNAcentral's name for it is "partial 16S ribosomal RNA". It matches the Rfam family "Bacterial small subunit ribosomal RNA", at positions 524 to 776 of the family's 1533-position model. The record is from RNAcentral.
UACAGAGACUGCAAGCGUUAUUCGGAUUCACUGGGCGUAAAGGGUGCGCAGGCGGCCGUGUGUGUGAGGCGUGAAAGCCCGAUGCUUAACAUCGGAAUUGCACCUCAAACUACACGGCUAGAGCAUUGGAGAGGGUAGCGGAAUUCACGGUGUAGCAGUGAAAUGCGUAGAUAUCGUGAGGAACACCAGUGGCGUAAGCGAUCACCUGGGCUAGACCUGACGCUGAGGGACGAAGGCGUGGGGAGCAAACGGG